UGAGGAUGCUGAGAGACUCAUUCCAGAUGUCAAUCUGA
Molecule: non-coding RNA, 38 nt
Filed under: Ictidomys tridecemlineatus (thirteen-lined ground squirrel)
Lineage: Eukaryota; Metazoa; Chordata; Mammalia; Rodentia; Sciuridae
Description: Spermophilus tridecemlineatus (thirteen-lined ground squirrel) Small nucleolar RNA SNORD109A
Rfam family: Small nucleolar RNA SNORD109A
About the family: Humans have two copies of the SNORD109 gene, SNORD109A and SNORD109B.
Source: Rfam by way of RNAcentral